AGUCGAGCGCACCUUCGGGUGAGCGGCGGACGGGUUAGUAACGCGUGGGAACAUACCCUUUGGUACGGAAUAGCCUCUGGAAACGGAGAGUAAUACCGUAUGAGCCCUUCGGGGGAAAGAUUUAUCGCCAAAGGAUUGGCCCGCGUUAGAUUAGGUAGUUGGUGGGGUAAUGGCCUACCAAGCCUACGAUCUAUAGCUGGUUUUAGAGGAUGAUCAGCAACACUGGGACUGAGACACGGCCCAGACUCCUACGGGAGGCAGCAGUGGGGAAUCUUGGACAAUGGGGGCAACCCUGAUCCAGCCAUGCCGCGUGAGUGAUGAAGGCCUUAGGGUCGUAAAGCUCUUUCGCCUGUGAAGAUAAUGACGGUAGCAGGUAAAGAAACCCCGGCUAACUCCGUGCCAGCAGCCGCGGUAAUACGGAGGGGGUUAGCGUUGUUCGGAAUUACUGGGCGUAAAGCGCACGUAGGCGGACUGGAAAGUUGGGGGUGAAAUCCCAGGGCUCAACCCUGGAACUGCCUCCAAAACUAUCAGUCUAGAGUUCGAGAGAGGUGAGUGGAAUUCCGAGUGUAGAGGUGAAAUUCGUAGAUAUUCGGAGGAACACCAGUGGCGAAGGCGGCUCACUGGCUCGAUACUGACGCUGAGUGCGAAAGUGUGGGGAGCAAACAGGAUUAGAUACCCUGGUAGUCCACACCGUAAACGAUGAAUGCCAGUCGUCGGGUAGCAUGCUAUUC
This 731-nucleotide ribosomal RNA is filed under the name Ruegeria sp. AU588. RNAcentral describes it as "bacterial SSU rRNA". It matches the Rfam family "Bacterial small subunit ribosomal RNA", at positions 60 to 841 of the family's 1533-position model. Lineage: Bacteria; Pseudomonadati; Pseudomonadota; Alphaproteobacteria; Rhodobacterales; Roseobacteraceae. The record is from RNAcentral.